CCUAUUGUUUAACCAAAUAUCAUAUAAAAAUAUAUGUAGGGAAGAACACACCACAAUGUAUUGGUGUUCCUUUAAAAGAGGGAAGUUUUUAUCAAGUCUUCUUGAUAUUUGAGGUAAAGCACUAUUUUAAAGUUGAAAUGAUCGGAAAACUCCGAUUAAAUCCUUUCAAAUAAUGGAUUUGUUUUUUCUCAUAAAAUAAAAUUAUUGUGCUAACCAAAAGAAAAAAGUUUUCUAGUCAAUUAUA
Molecule: long non-coding RNA, 244 nt
Filed under: Lathyrus oleraceus (garden pea)
Lineage: Eukaryota; Viridiplantae; Streptophyta; Magnoliopsida; Fabales; Fabaceae
Description: Pisum sativum (pea) long non-coding RNA (PSAT_LNC026786)
Source: RNAcentral